CGGGCUGGCCCAAUAUAGGCUUAUGGAGCCCUUGCUCUAUUUCCCGCGCAAAUAUCCUCCAGUUUUAAGCUGCCCAUUUUCUCCCCCAAUUUCCCGUGUUUUCGUCAGUUAUUCAAUUUCAAUUACCCACUUCUUCAACCUCAAUCCCAUCAUUUCUGCAACUAUUUCACAAAUUCGAAGACAGGAAUGGCUGAUUCGGGAGUUGAACCAGACGAGAGUAGCUUGAAGAAGAGCAAGAUCGAUUUAUCGAAAACCCUAACCCUAAAUCUCCCGGACCACAUCCUAAUUGAAGAAAUUCUGGCACGACUUCCGGUAAAAUCCCUAAUUCGUUUCAAAACCGUUUGUAAGUAUUGGUUAUUAAUAAUUUCUUCCCGCAAAUUCGCAAUUUCCCAUCUGAAAUUCUCUGUGUUACGCCGUCAAUUUCUAUUUCUUCCGUAUUGUGAUGAUUAUUGUGGGAAAGGGAAUGGUGGUUAUUUUCUCUCGUUACCGUACAAAGAAUGCUGUAGCGUGAAAGAUUUAGUUCGAUUAGGGUGUGGAUAUAUUGAAGAUUUUCCUGUAUUAGUGGGUUCUUGUCAUGGACUCAUAUGCGUGUGUGAUAAGGAAGAGUAUGCUGGUAAAUUUGGUCUGUGGAACCCUGCUACAAAAGAGCAUCGUGAGAUUACUAAUCCCGAUAAUAUUCCCGAUGUUUUAGCUUAUGGUUUUGGUUAUGUUUAUUCCAUUGAUGAUUAUAAGAUUGCAUCUUCAUUUGCUACUCGUAGUGGGAAGUUUCGGGGUUUUACGUGCUUUCUGUACGUGAUGGGAAAUGGAAAAGAAUUGUUGGUAAAUUUGAUAGGCAUUACCAUCAACUUGCUAUCACAUUGGACAACGAAGCACUGUUUGUUGAUGGAACUCUGUACUGGCCUCCCAGAUGUACUGAGCGUUUUAACCUCUGUAAGGCCAAACACAUUAUUGGGUUUAACUUAGAGAGGGAGGAAUUUGAAGAAUUCCCAUGGAGAGAGAAUUUACAUAGCUACAGAGAUGUUAAAUUGUUGAACUUUAAAGGGUGUUUGACGUUCUAUGGUCGUAACUGGAAGAGUACUCACAAUGUUUGGGACUUUUGGAUGCUAAAAAAACCCAAUGGCUCGAUUAGUUGGGAGAAAUUGUUCACAUUUGAUCUUACAAAUGUCUCCUUUUUUUCGUUUCUCUGAGACAGACAAGUGUUUGGUGCGACAGUUUGAGCAGUUCAAGUUAAUUGACCCAUCUAAGGAAGCUUUGGAACUUGUCCGAGGAGAUUCCGAUAAUUCUCAGAAGGAAGUAACAAUGGAAUAUACUGAGAGUCUUGUUUCACCUUUUUUUACAACGAAGGUGAAAAACUUUGAGGUUUGAUCAUGUCUUUUUAUUCUAAUGCUUUGUGUGUAGUUUUAUAUUCUUGCUGGUUUUAGCUAGUUGCGCAUGUUUGUUAUGAUCAAGGUUGUAGCCAGGGGGUUUCAUUUCUGAAUGAUACUAAUUGAAAAUUCUAAACUGUGAUUAUAUUUCUGGUUUAUAGGACCGAUGAACAGAAUUGUCUCAUACAGAUGUAGUAGGAAUUUGAAACUCAUAGACUUUCAGAUGGUUCAUACUUCAUAAUUCAUAUGUUGCCACUAACGUGCCUGUUUUUUGAAGUUAAUGUGGCAUCCUUCUCUGAUAUCAUCUGAGGUCUUGAUUGGUAAAAUUAGCAGUUAAAGGAACAGCAUAUCUCAAUGGAGUAGACUUGAAAUAUCACUGUGAAAUUUGUUGUUCUAUUUUUCAAAAGAAUUGAUGGAUGGAAGUGUGUUGUAUGCUUCUGAUAUUAAAGGAAGGUUGGAUGACUUGUAAUAUCUUAACCUUCGAGUUUGUUAAAUGAAAAUGAGAUGUCAAAUACACAAGUUCACGACCUUCCUACUUAUUAUUGGUGCAUUAGUCAAUAUACAUGCAGAGAAGGAUAGUUGUGUUUUCUUAAAAAUAUUGUCCUUUAUAUUCAACAACUUAUACGAUUUCUCAAAGUCAUAAUUGCCAGAGGAUCUAGACACGAUCUACGAUAGGAGUUUAAAGGAGAUGUUUGUAUCCACCCUAGAAGGAUACAUCAGACUCACCCAAAAGUAAUUAAUUGAACUUUUGAGCAUGUUCUUUUUGUUGAUCUAUUGUAGGAUUGUAGUACAUAUUCUUGGAUAGAGUAGGAUUAUGGUGAGCUAUGACAUAGUUUCCUUGUGGAAAAGGUCAUUAAGUGUCAUCAAAGCUACAUGAUUUUUAAAAGCUACAUGAUUUUUACUAAUUCUAUGUGUUUAACAUAGGUUUUGGCCAUUGGAUUGGAAAUAAAUCACUUCAUUCUACAAGCAUUUUGCUCUUUGUAAUUCAUGAACUUGGAUACAUCUAUUGCCUUUUCAUAAACUAGUCGUUUGGUUAAUGUGAGGUGCACUUUUGUUUUAAAGGGUGCCUAUUCAUGUGUUCUGUUUGUAUAUAGUGUCUACAUUGUAUAUAUUCCUUCUUUAAAUUUUCACGUCCAAUAUUCAGAAACUAUUACGGAGUAUGUCUUUUAUUUCUCUCCCGUUGUUGGCUUGAUGCUGUUCAUUUUUUCCGGCAACUUGAAGUUACUUGAUAUUGUUGCAAUUCAUUUUUUUUCCCGGCAACUUGAAGUUACUUGAUAACAUCUGUUGUGGCAGCUCACUUAUCAGUUGUAUCAGGUAUGGUCUAACUAUUUCUCUUUUUGUUGGGGGUGUAACAUUAGACUGCUAAACAACCAAUCGUGGACAAUAAGCUUCUCCAAAAUAAACGAGUUCUUCCUGUGUCUCGGGAAAAGGACUCUGAUUAUGAAGACGAGGAUGACUAUGAUGAUGAUUGCGAUGAUGAUGAUGAUGAUGAUGAUGGUGAUGAGAGUGAUUUCGAGGAGGAGGAGGAGGAUGGCAAUGCUAGUGAUUUCGAGGAGGCGCAUGGCAAUGAGAGUGAUUCUGAGGACAAUGGCAAAGUCAAAACUUAUUGGUUAAGUUCAGAUGAUGAUGAUAAAGACAGCGAUUAUUUUAAGUAUGCGCUAUCCAAUGAUGAGGACGAAGGUGAUGAUGAGGAUGAAGAAGAUGAAGAUGGAUUCUAGUAGCUAGAAAUCUAGAAUCUAGAAAGAGUAAAGAAUGUUUUUAUGUACAGAAUUUUUUUUGUUUUUUUUCCCUAUCUUGUGUUAUGAUUACUUUUGUUAGGAUGUGUUAUAUACUUAUAUUCAUUUGAUUUUCACUUAACUUUCCUUAACUUAAUCUGAACUUGUCUUAAUUGUUAAAA
Molecule: RNA transcript, 3261 nt
Organism: Spinacia oleracea (spinach)
Lineage: Eukaryota; Viridiplantae; Streptophyta; Magnoliopsida; Caryophyllales; Amaranthaceae
Exons: 2
Source: RefSeq, a predicted model, not a curated record